CCUACGUGAGGCAGCAGUGGGGAAUAUUGGGCAAUGGGCGCAAGCCUGACCCAGCAACGCCGCGUGAAGGAAGAAGGCUUUCGGGUUGUAAACUUCUUUUGACAGGGAAGAGUAGAAGACGGUACCUAUCGAAUAAGCCACGGCUAACUACGUGCCAGCAGCCGCGGUAAUACGUAGGUGGCAAGCGUUGUCCGGAUUUACUGGGUUUAAAGGGCGUGUAGCCGGGUUGACAAGUCAGCAGUGAAAUCCUGCGGCUUAACCGCAGCACUGCAUUUGAAACUGUUGAUCUUGAGUACUGGAGAGGCAGACGGAAUUCCUGGUGUAGCGGGGAAAUGCGUAGAUAUUAGGAGGAACACCAGUGGCGAAGGCGGUCUGCUGGACAGCAACUGACGGUGAGGCGUGAAAGCGUGGGGAGCAAACAGGAUUAGAUACCCGAGUAGUC
Molecule: ribosomal RNA, 442 nt
Filed under: uncultured bacterium
Lineage: Bacteria
Description: partial 16S ribosomal RNA
Rfam family: Bacterial small subunit ribosomal RNA
Source: RNAcentral